RNAcentral lists this ribosomal RNA (253 nucleotides) under uncultured bacterium. RNAcentral's name for it is "partial 16S ribosomal RNA". It matches the Rfam family "Bacterial small subunit ribosomal RNA", at positions 524 to 776 of the family's 1533-position model. The record is from RNAcentral.
GACAGAGGGGGCAAGCGUUGCUCGGAAUUACUGGGCGUAAAGGGCGCGUAGGCGGGAUGGCAAGUCGGUCGUGAAAUCCCUCGGCUCAACCGAGGAACGUCGAUCGAUACUGCUGUUCUUGAGGAUUGCAGAGGAGACUGGAAUUCCCGGUGUAGCGGUGAAAUGUGUAGAGAUCGGGAGGAACACCGGUGGCGAAGGCGGGUUGCUGGGCUGAUACUGACGCUGAGGCGCGAAAGCCAGGGGAGCGAACGGG